Stegodyphus mimosarum is the source of this 73-nucleotide non-coding RNA. NCBI's taxonomy places the organism in Eukaryota, Metazoa, Arthropoda, Arachnida, Araneae, Eresidae. The record is from Rfam.
GCCUUCGUGGUGUAAUGGUCAGCACACUGAGCCGGUAUUUCAGAGGUCCGCGGUUCGAUCCCCGGCGAAGACG